RNAcentral lists this ribosomal RNA (253 nucleotides) under uncultured bacterium. Its description in RNAcentral is "partial 16S ribosomal RNA". It matches the Rfam family "Bacterial small subunit ribosomal RNA", at positions 524 to 776 of the family's 1533-position model. The record is from RNAcentral.
GACAGAGGGUGCAAACGUUGUUCGGAAUUACUGGGCGUAAAGCGCGUGUAGGCGGCUAUGUAAGUCGGGCGUGAAAUCCCACGGCUCAACCGUGGAAGUGCACCCGAAACUGCGUAGCUAGAGUCCUGGAGAGGAUCGCGGAAUUCCCGGUGUAGAGGUGAAAUUCGUAGAUAUCGGGAGGAACACCAGUGGCGAAGGCGGCGAUCUGGGCAGAUACUGACGCUGAGGUGCGAAAGCGUGGGGAGCGAACAGG